AUGGGCACGGACGAGGAGGAGCACCAGUACCCCGUGUGGAAGCGCGAGCAUGAGGAGGGGGAGGAGCCCACGGCCGCCGACGAGAAGCGCCCACGCACGGCAGGCGAAUCGGAGAGCGCCUUGCUGCUCGGGCUCGCCAACUACGCAGACGAGGAGGAGGAGCACGGGGCGCCGAGGGGGCACACAAACGGCCGGCCCCGGGAGGAGGAGGAAGAGGAAGACGAUGAGGAUAAGGAGGAGGACGAGAGGAGGGCUCCACAGAGGCGGCCCAGGCAGGUCGAGCUGCACUGUGACUGCCCCUACCUCGACACCGUCAACCGACGGACUGAGAAAGUUUACUGUCUUCCUGAUGGAUAUGAGAUAAAUGAUCCAUCACUAGAAGAUAUUCAACAUGUUCUUAAUCUAAGGUUUGCAAGAGAGUUGGUUAAAAUUCUGGACAAGAACAAGCAAUGGUCAAGAGCUCUGGAUGACUCCAAUUAUUUACCUGGAAUGGUUGGUCUUAACAACAUUAAGGAGACUGACUUUGUGAACGUCACAAUACAAUCACUGAUGAGGAUUACCCCUUUGAGAAAUUUCUUUCUUAUACCUGAAAAUUAUCAGCAUAGCAAAUCCCCACUGGUUCAUCGGUAUGGAGAACUAACUUGGAAGAUUUGGCAUGCUAGGAACUUCAAGGGACAAGUUAGUCCACAUGAGUUCCUUCAAGCUGUUAUGAAGGCUAGUGAGAAGAAGUUUCAGAUUGGUGUACAAUCUGAUCCAGUAGAGUUUAUGUCAUGGCUCUUGAACACACUGCAUGCGAAGCUAUGA
This 804-nucleotide ribosomal RNA is filed under the name Triticum aestivum (bread wheat). RNAcentral's name for it is "partial small subunit ribosomal RNA". Lineage: Eukaryota; Viridiplantae; Streptophyta; Magnoliopsida; Poales; Poaceae. The record is from RNAcentral.